RNAcentral lists this ribosomal RNA (492 nucleotides) under uncultured bacterium. Its description in RNAcentral is "partial 16S ribosomal RNA". It matches the Rfam family "Bacterial small subunit ribosomal RNA", at positions 29 to 507 of the family's 1533-position model. The record is from RNAcentral.
AGUGAACGCUGGCGGUAGGCCUAACACAUGCAAGUCGAACGGCAGCACAGUAAGAGCUUGCUCUUACGGGUGGCGAGUGGCGGACGGGUGAGGAAUACAUCGGAAUCUACUUUUUCGUGGGGGAUAACGUAGGGAAACUUACGCUAAUACCGCAUACGACCUACGGGUGAAAGCAGGGGAUCUUCGGACCUUGCGCGAUUGAAUGAGCCGAUGUCGGAUUAGCUAGUUGGCGGGGUAAAGGUCCACCAAGGCGACGAUCCGUAGCUGGUCUGAGAGGAUGAUCAGCCACACUGGAACUGAGACACGGUCCAGACUCCUACGGGAGGCAGCAGUGGGGAAUAUUGGACAAUGGGCGCAAGCCUGAUCCAGCCAUACCGCGUGGGUGAAGAAGGCCUUCGGGUUGUAAAGCCCUUUUGUUGGGAAAGAAAAGCAGCAGGUUAAUACCCCGCUGUUCUGACGGUACCCUAAGAAUAAGCACCGGCUAACUUCGUG